RNAcentral lists this ribosomal RNA (263 nucleotides) under uncultured bacterium. RNAcentral's name for it is "partial 16S ribosomal RNA". It matches the Rfam family "Bacterial small subunit ribosomal RNA", at positions 793 to 1055 of the family's 1533-position model. The record is from RNAcentral.
GUCCACGCCUUAAACUAUGAAUACUAAGUGUCGGCAGUUUACUGCCGGUGCCGCAGCUAACGCAUUAAGUAUUCCGCCUGGGAAGUACGGCCGCAAGGUUGAAACUCAAAGGAAUUGACGGGGGCCCGCACAAGCGGUGGAGCAUGUGGUUUAAUUCGACGCAACGCGAAGAACCUUACCCAGGCUGGACAUGCAGGUAGUAGAAGGGUGAAAGCCCAACGAGGUAGCAAUACCAUCCUGCUCAGGUGCUGCAUGGCUGUCGU